Eubalaena glacialis (North Atlantic right whale) is the source of this 1337-nucleotide long non-coding RNA. RefSeq lists it as uncharacterized. Lineage: Eukaryota; Metazoa; Chordata; Mammalia; Artiodactyla; Balaenidae. The transcript has 3 exons. The record is from RefSeq and is a predicted model, not a curated record.
CCUGGUAUCCAAAACCGUGUCCUGACCCCAGAUCUAGUACCUGGCCUAGCUGGCUGGCAGGGCAGGCUCAGUGCUGCCCAGGCCUCCCCCUGCUGGGUGCUGAAGAUGAAAGCCACCACUGAUAACAUCAGAGGGAGCCCAGCUCUGCUUAAUCAACACACUUUCACAUCUGUAAUCUUACAGGGAGGUAACAUUACUUACUGUGUUGCUGUAGAGGCAGCAAAACUACUGGAAACUCACAUCUUCCACCUGCCAGCCCCCAUCCCACCCUCUGCAUUGAGGACAGAAGAAAACAGGCCCCGGAGGAAGAAUUACUUUUCAUCUCUGCAAAGCCUUGAGAGCUGUGGUAGGCACUGGUUCCAAGGAAGAAGGCGAAACAGAAGCUUGGAGUGCUGGAUCAACUUGCCGGGAUCGCACUGGACCUAGCAGUGGCAGCGCUGCCCUGAUGCCCAAGGUUUUUCCAGGAAGCUGCCGCCUCCUGUCCUGGUCCUGAGCUUUGUCUUCUCAAGGGCUAUGCUACCUGUGUUCUCUUUGGCAGCUGCUCAAACAACCUCAAUAUCCUGACACAAGGUGGCACUUCAUUUGAGGAGCUGCAGCGCAGGGCUGGGAGGAAAAAGCUGUCAACAGAUAACAGGCAUCACUUUCUUAGGAAGCUGUGGUUUUCCAGCCUCAGGGAGUGAAAAAAUCUUUCUCAAAGUGAAGAGCUGCUGUCAAUUCCUCAGUCUGCUGCCCUGCUUCCCUGGGCUGCAUCUCUGCCUGUCUGAAUCUGACCCAUUCUUCAAAGCCCAACUUAAAUGCCACUUCCUCCAUGGAGCCUUUUCUGAUUUUUUCCUUCCUCCCAGGCUCCUCCUCCCUGCCAUGCUGGGUAUGACCCACCUUCUUCCAAAUACACUCAUUUGCUGUGACUGUCCUUAAAGAGUUAAAUAGUUGACUUCUCUGAGCCUUAAUUACUUCCUUUCUAAAACUGAAAUAAUAUCUGCCUUUUAUAUCUGGCUGUAAUGAGUUAAAAGAAAUAAUAUAUGUAAGUCACAGUCCUAGGCACACAGAAUGCUCUUACAUAUGUUAGUCUGGUGUUAUCACACUCAAAUGUACACCCGCACAGCCCUGCACAUUCACACGCAGAUUUUCUGUGUAUGUGUUAGGACCCUUAUUCUUUCUACCGCCUAUAAUAAUUAUGUGUGUAGGUUCCUGGGGUGGGGGUAGGGAAAUAGGGUGUAGUGAAAAGAAACAGGAUUUGGAAUAAAAAAUGUGGGUCUUCCCCUCAACCAGCUGUGUGACUGAGGUCAAGUUUACUUCUCCUCCCUGAGUUUCUUCCUUCAUGAAAGAGAGAUAACAAA